Molecule: ribosomal RNA, 607 nt
Filed under: uncultured bacterium
Lineage: Bacteria
Description: bacterial SSU rRNA
Rfam family: Bacterial small subunit ribosomal RNA
Source: RNAcentral
GAAUGGGCGCAGCUGAUCCAUUCCAUGCCGCGUGCGGGAAGAAGGCCUUCGGGUUGUAAACCGCUUUUGUCAGGGAAGAAAAGGUUCUGGCUAAUACCUGGGACUCAUGACGGUACCUGAAGAAUAAGCACCGGCUAACUACGUGCCAGCAGCCGCGGUAAUACGUAGGGUGCAAGCGUUAAUCGGAAUUACUGGGCGUAAAGCGUGCGCAGGCGGUUAUGCAAGACAGAGGUGAAAUCCCCGGGCUCAACCUGGGAACUGCCUUUGUGACUGCAUAGCUAGAGUACGGUAGAGGGGGAUGGAAUUCCGCGUGUAGCAGUGAAAUGCGUAGAUAUGCGGAGGAACACCGAUGGCGAAGGCAAUCCCCUGGACCUGUACUGACGCUCAUGCACGAAAGCGUGGGGAGCAAACAGGAUUAGAUACCCUGGUAGUCCACGCCCUAAACGAUGUCAACUGGUUGUUGGGAGGGUUUCUUCUCAGUAACGUAGCUAACGCGUGAAGUUGAUCGCCUGGGGAGUACGGCCGAAGGUUGUAACUCCAAGGAAUUGACGGGGGACCGCACAAGCGGUGGAUGAUGUGGUCUAAUUCGAUGCGACGCGAAAAAACU